UAACAUAUACAUUGUAAUUUGUUUCCUAUUUGCCCCUCCCCCCAAAUAUCCAUAAAUACAAUCAAGUUAGAGCAUUGGACAAUAUCACAGAUUCCUCUAUGAACCCAUAUAUAUAUAUUGGCUAACAAAUUUCAGAAUUUUAACAAAAAGCAGAAAAGAACAAGUCAUUUUGGGGUAAAUUUGGCUUUGACAGAACCUUCAAUCUAUUGAAAUAUUUAAAGGAAUUUACAAUAGGUAUAUAAAAAUAUAUGCUAAAUCUGAAUAAAAAAAUAAACAAUCCAUUAAAACAUGCAGAAAAGGAUAUGAGAACUGAAGAAAGGCAACAUUAAAAGGAAAGAUAAAAGUGUGGGAGCAGGACCAGAGCUUAGAGAACAGAGAUGGGUGUAUACAGUCCAUGAGCUUUUCUUCACAUGGUCUUCUGAAGUGCAAGCUUCGAGUAAACAUCCAUUUCUCAUGAUCAACUCCUGACUUGAGCAAGGUUAACAAAAUCAGAUACAGAUUAACAAAAGGUAACAAUAAAACUAUUAUAGGGGUUCAUAUAACUCCUUUCUUCUUGAAAGAAAGAAAUUUUCUAUUUUAUACCUUAUUCUUUGUUGCUUUGAAAUUUAUUAAAGUAUAAUUUAAUAACUGCAGUGUGACUGAUUUUAGGUGAUGCUUUUUAUUGUUGUACAGUAUUCAGAAGCUACCUGGCUAUUCAUAUUUCCUAAUCUGAAAGCAUUCUCAUUGGAAAAGUCUAAUUCACGUGUAAGUCAGGGAGGCUGUGAAAACUGCAGAGUGUUACAAAAAAAGUAAAUGAGAAUACAUAGAUCUAUCACAAAUAUGACCUCAAUACAAAGAUCCUUUCUUUAUUCCAUAUGCCAGCCAAGAUUAGAUUAUUGGACAGUUAUUAAGAAAGGCAGAGGUGAAACUGACAGCCCUAUCCCAGUGCUCUUGGAGACAAAACAGUUCUAUGCCUAUUUUUUUAAAAAAACAAUGGACUAUAAUGGGCCCCACUUAAUAUGUCUCCACCACCAAUGAGAUAGAAACAAUGCCACAUGUUUUGAAGAUUGCCUUGCAAUAGCAUUGAAUUUUGUUACUUUUUAUUACAGUUUUCCUGGAAGAAAAAUUCAGGAAUACAACUAGUUGGGAUCAACAGUCUCUAGAUUCCUCAAAAUAAAGGAUGAAGUUAACAGAGAAACAUGCAUUUGGAACAAUUCUCCAUUUUUUCUGCAUAAUUGAAUUGAAAAUACAAAUGAUCUGGGAACUAAAUGACACUAUGUUCAACUUCUUUCAUUUUCUAAUAUGGAGGACACCAGGAUAAAAAAACUUUAUGAAGACAAUGGAAGAUAAAAAUGAUACAUAAUCAUAUUAUACCCUCCCCCUUUUACACUGAA
Crotalus tigris (Tiger rattlesnake) is the source of this 1373-nucleotide long non-coding RNA. RefSeq lists it as uncharacterized. The record is from RefSeq and is a predicted model, not a curated record. The transcript is spliced from 3 exons. Lineage: Eukaryota; Metazoa; Chordata; Lepidosauria; Squamata; Viperidae.